GCAUCAUGUCUGUUGUUUGAGUAAGCACUCUAAGCAGAAAAGGUAAUCAACAAGCAAAAACAAAUUUUCUUCUCAUGAGAAAAGACAUUGUUGCUUCCUUGUGUGGGCUCUGAAAUUCUUCAUUCUUCUAGAUUUUCUUGUUUCGAUGUCUAUCUACCAUAGGACUCAGCUGGACAAAGGUUAUCUGAAAGAAUCACCCACCAUCUAUGAUGGAAAAACAAUUUAUGCAAUACUUAUGAGAUAAU
This 245-nucleotide long non-coding RNA is filed under the name Monodelphis domestica (gray short-tailed opossum). RNAcentral's name for it is "lncRNA (ENSMODG00000043922.1)". Lineage: Eukaryota; Metazoa; Chordata; Mammalia; Didelphimorphia; Didelphidae. The record is from RNAcentral.